GGCCCAAGUUUGAAUAGAGUAGAUUAGAAUGAUCAUCUGACCCUAAUAAACUACUCUACUUCGAGUUUGUGCUC
RNAcentral lists this microRNA precursor (74 nucleotides) under Haemonchus placei. Its description in RNAcentral is "mir-5928 microRNA precursor family". It matches the Rfam family "mir-5928 microRNA precursor family". The record is from Rfam by way of RNAcentral. Lineage: Eukaryota; Metazoa; Nematoda; Chromadorea; Rhabditida; Trichostrongylidae.